This is a long non-coding RNA of Oncorhynchus keta (chum salmon), 964 nucleotides long. RefSeq lists it as uncharacterized. The transcript is spliced from 3 exons. The record is from RefSeq and is a predicted model, not a curated record. Lineage: Eukaryota; Metazoa; Chordata; Actinopteri; Salmoniformes; Salmonidae.
UUUACAGGGUCAGUCAUAGUAGUAUGAUAGGUGUUGUUUUACAGGGUCAGUCAUAGUAGUAUGAUAGGUGUUGUUUUACAGGGUCAGUCAUAGUAGUAUGAUAGGUGUUGUUUUACAGGGUCAGUCAUAGUAGUAUGAUAGGUGUUGUUUUACAGGGUCAGUCAUAGUAGUAUGAUAGGUGUUGUUUUACAGGGUCAGUCAUAGUAGUAUGAUAGGUGUUGUUUUACAGGGUCAGUCAUAGUAGUAUGAUAGGUGUUGUUUUACAGGGUCAGCCAUAGUAGUAUGAUAGGUGUUGUUUUACAGGGUCAGUCAUAGUAGUAUGAUAGGUGUUGUUUUACAGGGUCAGUCAUAGUAGUAUGAUAGGUGUUGUUUUACAGGGUCAGUCAUAGUAGUAUGAUAGGUGUUGUUUUACAGGGUCAGUCAUAGUAGUAUGAUAGGUGUUGUUUUACAGGGUCAGUCAUAGUAGUAUGAUAGGUGUUGUUUUACAGGGUCAGUCAUAGUAGUAUGAUAGGUGUUGUUGUACAGGGUCAGUCAUAGUAGUAUGAUAGGUGUUGUUUUACAGGGUCAGUCAUAGUAGUAUGAUAGGUGUUGUUGUACAGGGUCAGUCAUAGUAGUAUGAUAGGUGUUGUUUUACAGGGUCAGUCAUAGCAGUAUGAUAGGUGUUGUUUUACAGGGUCAGUCAUAGUAGUAUGAUAGGUGUUGUUUUACAGGGUCAGUAUAGUAGUAUGAUAGGUGUUGUUUUACAGGGUCAGUCAUAGUAGUAUGAUAGGUGUUGUUGUACAGGGUCAGUCAUAGCAGUAGGAUAGGUGUUGUUUUACAGGGUCAGUCAUAGCAGUAUGAUAGGUGUUGUUUUACAGGGUCAGUCAUAGUAGUAUGAUAGGUGUUGUUUUACAGGGUCAGUCAUAGUAGUAUGAUAGGUGUUGUUUUACAGGGUCAGUCAUAGUAGUAUGAUAGGUGUUGUUUU